UCGAUCGGAUUUCUGGUUGCAAUUCUCUGUCCCUUGGCUCUGGGCAGGGAAGGGGGGAGCCACGGCGCUGAGGCUGGGGAGGGGCUAAAUGGGGGGAAGGUCUCUUCGCCCCCUGUCUCAUUUUCUCCGCCUAGUCCCGGCCCUGAGUGCCGCCCCAGAAGUGGGUGAGGGAACGUGGUGGGCUGGGACAACCGGGGAGGGCACAAACUGGAGGCAGCUGGAGACGUCGCCAGGGACCCAAGAUUCCCUCCUCCCCGUUCUCGGGUCCGGCCGGCCCCACAGGCCACUUCCUCUGUAGCGCCCACGCUGCCCCGGGCGGCCCCCCCCGGCUAGCAGCCUGACCCUUUGCCCCAGGCGCCGGAAUGUCUUCUCUCUGGAUGACUGCUUCGGCCCCCACUUCGGAGAAGGUGCACCCGAGUCCCGCUUCCUCGAGACUCGCCCUGCAUCAGGCGCCUCAGCCCUCAGGGCCUUCCCCAUCCAACGUCCGAGUUUGCUCCCUCCUUGGGACAGUUUGAAGAAAAGGACAAACUUUUGAGUGGAUAAAAAUCAAGAGGAGCCCGUCCGGAGCAGGGCUGAUCCCCACUGUAGAAAAACUGCGGCCAGGUCCGGAACCUGCUCACCCAGCAAGCGCUUAAGAGACGCUUGGAGAUCCGCAGCGGGUCUCCCAGAAGGGAGAGGAGUGCCAGCCGAAAAGAGCAGUUUCCCACUCUGCUCAGAUGGAGAGGCUGGUUGAUUCUGGCUCUGGGCCGUCUCUCUAAGGAGUACCCCUGAUUAACUGGGUCCCUGCCAUCUACUUCUGCUCAACAAAGGAGGCCACUCGAGGCCUUGGUGGAAGGACGCACACUUUCUGCCCCUAGCAGCUUCCUUGCCCCAACCUGGCCGCUUGGAGACGAAGGGAACCUAGUUCACUUUGCUGAAUCCGGAAUCUCAGCCAGCAGAGCCAACAGCUGCAGCCGCAUCCUGGAGCCUGACGCUGGCAGCAGUUUCUGCCUCUGGGCUCUCCGUGCCACCUUGGCCUCUGCUUCGUGUGGUUUGCUCUUGUGUUUUUCUCCCUCAUUUAGGGGUGGUGGGGAACAGGGAAAUAAAAUGUGUCUACCAUGCCCCUAAUCCUUCCCCAUGUCCCCACCAAACCUUAAAGCCACUGAUGGUAAUGAACUGCAGCUUCCAGCUGUGCUCAUAAGCUAUUCAAAGCAAAUGCACAUUCUCUUGGGGCAGGAGGAAAGCAGAUGCCCCUUCUCAGCCCUCCCUUGCUCACUGAUCCAUUUUAAGCAUUUUAGGGUCACAACUGAGACCAGAUCACUUCAGUUGGUAUAAAAUUAGCAUUUUUUACCAAACCAAAGGCCUAGAUUUGUUGAAUCAAGGAAUAAGAGGUCUUUAUCCAGACCCACAUCUCUUCUCUGGCCUCUCAAAACAGUAAUGAUGUAAAGACUUGUUGAGGUGGAGAAAUAGAAGAAAAUGAGCAAUUUGCUCCAUCUAGAAGUCAGUAACUUCAGCUGUUUAUUCCACUGUUUCUUUAACACCUACUAUGCAAAGCAUUGUCUCGACCUCAGUUUGUCAUGACUGCCAAAAAUGAUUCUUGCCACUGUGAGGCUUCAGUGUGUGUAGAAAUAUAUAAAAAUACAUCAAUGGAAAAGCAAACUUGCAUUCCGCUGAUUU
Molecule: long non-coding RNA, 1656 nt
Organism: Manis javanica (Malayan pangolin)
Lineage: Eukaryota; Metazoa; Chordata; Mammalia; Pholidota; Manidae
Source: RefSeq, a predicted model, not a curated record